AUUCCCCUGCUAUGUUCGUGAUUGGUGGAAUAUUUUUGAGCCAACAUAAAUGUAGAAGGGAGUUCCCCCUUGCCUUUGUGUGUCUUUUUUGGAUGUUGAAAGAGACCUAAUGGGGUAAUGGAACGCCCACCUGAUAGAGAUCAGGUUCAAAAAGAGCUGCUGACACGGCAUUAGAGCGGGGGAAAA
Molecule: non-coding RNA, 186 nt
Filed under: Deltaproteobacteria bacterium
Lineage: Bacteria; Pseudomonadati; Myxococcota; Myxococcia
Description: 6S RNA
Rfam family: 6S / SsrS RNA
About the family: E. coli 6S RNA was the first non coding RNA to be sequenced, but its function was unknown until recently. It consists of 184 nucleotides that fold into an extended hairpin structure with a large single-stranded internal bulge. The 6S RNA specifically associates with RNA polymerase holoenzyme containing the sigma70 specificity factor.
Source: RNAcentral